Molecule: long non-coding RNA, 213 nt
Filed under: Trifolium pratense (red clover)
Lineage: Eukaryota; Viridiplantae; Streptophyta; Magnoliopsida; Fabales; Fabaceae
Description: long non-coding RNA (TPRA_LNC007820)
Source: RNAcentral
UAUGAAGAGGUGGUUGGGAGAGAGGCCGAUGCUCCGACAAAUCGCAGUCUUCAUCUCUCCUGUUUCACUGUUUGUAUUGAUUGAUAAUUGAUGAUGAUCUUCUCUUCUGCGUUUUGUUCAUUCACUCACACUCACUCACCAAAAAAUAUAAGAGUGGAGAAAUAUAAAAAUGAAAAAAAUUAUGUUUCAUAAGAAAAAAAAACUAGAGCUUCG